Molecule: long non-coding RNA, 1686 nt
Organism: Cryptomeria japonica (Japanese cedar)
Lineage: Eukaryota; Viridiplantae; Streptophyta; Pinopsida; Cupressales; Cupressaceae
Exons: 2
Source: RefSeq, a predicted model, not a curated record
UAUUAACUGUAAAUAAAAUAAUAGUCUAUAAAAUUAAUGUAAUAAGCUGUAAAUAAAAAAAGUAUGUGAUUCAUUGUGUGCGUGUAUCCUGUUUUCUUUGUGUUGCUGAACUUGACAUGUCUCACAUUUCUGUUCUCUAUCUCAAAAUUAUACUUACCAAGCAAAUUAGUUCCAAAAGGUUUAAAAACAGUUUGGCAAUUCUCAAUGGUCAAUUUUCAUAAUUGUACUUAUUUUGAGAAGAAAAGAUUCAACCACCUGCUUGCUAAACUUGCAUUCCAAAAAUAAUCGUUUACUGUAAGAUCUAAAUAAUCUGAGUUUGUUUUUAUCCAAAUUAAUUUUGCUAUCAAUGUUUUAAUAGAAAAGAACAUAAAUGCUAUUAUUUGGUUUGGUAUUAUUAUAGUUCCAGAUCUAGGAGAUGCACAGGAGAAAGACAUUUUUCAUUCUUUAAGUUAGCUCCCGUUCUGUAAUUUUUUAUAUCUUAGCUUCCCACAUUGUCUGUUUUUUAAAGUAGCAAUGUAAGGCGUGCAGAUACGAGGUCUAGUCAGUCGGCCAAACUAAUGUUACUUUUUGAGGCUUCACUGUAUGGUUAGAUGCUUAUUCUUGUUAUGCUUUCCAGCAACUCUUCUUCCAUUUGUGUACCCUCAUCCAAUUCUUUAGAGUACUGCAUGACAUGCAGAAAGUUUUGGUUUAUUGUGGGAGAAUCAUCUUAGAGUAGACAUUUUAAAUGUAAUUGACUUAUAUGAGUUUACUUUCUUGAGCCCAGAUGAAUAUCUCAACAUUGAUGAGUUCGAACUAGGUCUUUUGCCUCUUGAUUGUCAGAAGGGCUCAUCAUUCAUGGCUGUCCUACCGAUAAAAUUUGAUUUCUUACAACAUUACAGAAAGACAUUCUUCUGUGUUUUACUCCAUUUCAACCCAGCACAAUGGACCCAGUCUUGAGAAUAUUGCUGGAGUUUGCAACUUAGUUAAGAAUGUAGCAAAUGCUUAGAAAGGUGAUAAUGAAUGCAAUGCUCUUCGGAAAUGUAUGCCAUUACUGUUUUUUGAGGUAACCUCAAAUACAUAUGAUUAUCUGUUUAUUUUUCAAAAACUGUUUCAUGAAAUUAUCCCGUCAGUGUUCUUCAUUGUUUUCGGAUUGGUUGCUGUCAACAAAGUUACCUUCUUUGAUAAUGAUACUGGCUAGAGACAGGCUAAAGCUCAUGUCAUUUUCAAUGCCUUGGAUGCCAGUUAAAUGUACAAGAUUUUUUUAGUUCUUGCAUGAGUUUUUGGCGCCAUGGCUACUUUUAAUAUCUUGAAUCUCUGUUGUCUACCAUGUACCAAACACGAAGAGGUGAAUUCAUGGAUAAAAUGUAAUAGUUUGAGCUGGUUGUUGGAUGGGGUCAAUGACAGACUGCUACAUUUGUUGCUGUUGUCUGGUAUGUACACAAAGAGAUGUAUUCAUGGGUAAAAUGUAAUAAAUGGAGCUGAUUGUUUCCUUUUGCAUCAGCUGUGUAAACCCCAUAUGUGUGUGAUUUGAAAAUAGAUCAGUCAAAGUUAGUCAACAAAUUGAUGUCUCAGUUUUUACCUGUUCAAAUUUUCUUAAUGCAUAAGACAAAAUCGAUUUAUAUAGGGGGAAAGAUGAAACAGAUAACAGGAGUGACUAAAGUUGGAAUUCAGAAGCCUUUUCUAAUUGACUCGGGUGAUUUUCCUUAA